This is an RNA transcript of Mercurialis annua (annual mercury), 2997 nucleotides long. RefSeq lists it as uncharacterized. The transcript has 7 exons. The record is from RefSeq and is a predicted model, not a curated record. Lineage: Eukaryota; Viridiplantae; Streptophyta; Magnoliopsida; Malpighiales; Euphorbiaceae.
CUACUUCCUCAAUUUAGCUAAAGAAAAUAAAGUUUAAUAAUAAAUAAAUUAAUUAAUGGCUCUGUCUCUAUCUUUGAUCUCUAAUCGAUCUUAUCACCGGAACACCGCCACAAUCCGCCGCUACAUCUUAUUUUCGCACUCCAAUCCGAUUUUAAUAGCUAACUGUUUUUGUUUCAGCACCAGCACUGAGUCGAAUCGGACCGAGUUUCCGGCGUGUAACGCGUACGAUAUUUUAGGAGUUUCAGAGAGUUGCUCAUUCGCUGAAAUCAAAGCUUCGUUUCGGAAAUUAGCUAAAGAAACUCAUCCUGACCUCACUAAUUCGAAUCACGAUUCCUCCGCUUCUCAUCGUUUCAUUCAAAUCCUCGCUGCUUAUGAGAUUCUUUCGGAUUCUGAGAGGAGAGUUCACUAUGACAACUAUCUUAGGUCUCAGAGAAAUGUUGUGAAGAAGGAUUCUAGAGGAGGCCCAACCUUUUGCAUGUAUAAAUCUGAAACUGGUCGAAUUAAGAAUAUGGAAGUUGCUGAAUGGUUAAAAUGGUAUAGAUUGGCUUUGAAUGACAUACUGUUAGAGAAGAAGGUGGUGGCUGGAACAAGCUAUAUUGAUGUGCUUGAAGCUGAUUUUUAUUCAGCUAUACAUGCAGCUUAUUACGGCCCUCUGAUCGAGUCUAUGAAUCUUCUUCCUGAUCGUUUUGAGGCCGAGGAGAGGUCUGUCUAUGAAACGCCUGAGAUCCUACACUUAGUUUCAGGGCGUGAUCUUUUUGGAAUGGUCUGUCUGGCCAAUAAAGUUCCUGAACUGACUUCUCCCGGCAUAAAAAAAUUGAAUUCUUCGGCCUCUAUUGGUUUGGGUAUCUGUGAGUCUAUUGCAGAGACAGGCCUCUUCACGAAUUGCAAUGGAGUGAAUGGUAGUGGAUUGUCUCAGAUGCACAUUGGGAAUAGUGUUAGUCACACAUCAGAUGCAUAUAGAGAUUUGGAAUUGCACGUGGAUGGAAAGGUAGUUGCUGUGGCCACUAGAGUUCCUCCUAAAAUACAAAGUAAUGGAGUACAAAAUGAAGAUGUUCAAGAUCAAAUACAUGUUUUUCUUAAUUCAACUGAUGAUUCUAUGCAUUAUAGAAGUGGCUUUUCCCAGGAUUCUAGUUUGUGUAAUGAAGUUGGACUUAAGAUUCCUAUAGGAACUAUAACAGGGUUGGGGACCAGUCCUGAAGAAGGAUCCUGCUUUGUCUAUGAUAGAAGUGGUACAAAAACCCACACUGUAUUAAAACAUAGAACACUGCUGGUCAAGCAUAUGCAUUGGUAUCCAGUUGAAGAAAAAGUUUCUGUUUGCGAGUGCAGGUGUAGCAGAGCUCGACUACCACCAAGCAGAUUUUGGCUUUUUGAACCUCGCUGUGACAUGCAUGAUGUAGGGGGUUGGUAUAUUGAAACAUUUGGUAGAGAUAAAAAAGGUCAUACAGUUCCAUCUCAAAGGUAUUGGGAUGGCUUUGAUGGAAGUGAGCAAUUCGACAGGAGACUCCAUCCAGCAAUGUAUUUACUUGCUCUUGCAUAUAGAUCACUAGAUAUUGAAGAUGUUAAAAGAAGGAAACAAACAUUAAGGGGUAUUGUUGAAGGUCAGUUGUUUAGAAUUCUUCAUUGGUGCAAGAAACUGGUUUAGGAGAGACCGGUAUGGCCUUUAUGAUGUUUUAUAUCUGCUUCACCUCUCUGGCUUGCUAAGGUAAGCGUGAAGAUCUAAGUGAAGUGCAUAAUUGACUCGGGAAGUCAGCAAGCUUGUUCUCUUACCUAUACUUUGUGUUGAUAUUUGAGGAGUCGUCUCUUGUGCCAGAGUGGUUCAGAAAGAAAUCUUCUACUGGUGUUGCAAAAAUAAAAAGUAACCCUGCUGUAACAAGUAAUGCACCUGUUCCAACUAGCGUUUGUUUCAGCAGUUUGAUGACUGGUUUAACCUGGAAGUAUGAAAUUUUCUUAUGCAACCCAUUUGUAUCUUUUAUCUUAUGUCACUUUGAAAUUGGUAAACACAAGAAGCCUAGCAUCUACCAUCUAUAUGUGUUAUAUUAAAAGUUUCAAUUUCUUGGUAUAUGUCCAUGUGCUUAUACAAACUUGACUGUGUGCAUGUGUGCAUACUUGACUUGUUCUUGUAAGAUAAAUGAUGUUUCAUUGAAGCUUUAACCUACGGUUUUCUUUGCUCGUCUUUUGAGACUGAUUUUUCUGAUUUUCCUAUUUAGAACUUUAAUUUUUGUUUGUGUAUUUCAUAAUCAUGCAAUAAUAUAGAUUGUUCAUAUGUGCAUUACCUUGUAAGAGCCCAACAGUCUAUCACGAGCCAGGACCUGCCAGGUGAAAGGGAUAAUUUAUUAGUUUCUGAUGUUGUUCUAGUGUGCAAAUAUAAUAACUGCUUGUGCCAGACUUUCAGUUUCAAGACAAGGUGACCUUUGACACUUUUAGGAUGUUUGGUAUCGAAAAUUUGGGUUUCCAGUCAGUCCAAUUGUAGCAAAGUGGUACCUUGAGUUUGUAGUGCGUUCUUAUAAGAUAUACCAAAUAUUAUUUUUUUCAUUUGCAUCGUUAACAUCCAUAUUUUUUUUUUGCUGUUAUGCUAUUUAUGGGACACGAAAAUGCAUGUUAAGAGAGAGAGAGAGUGCUAACCUCUGGGGGCUUUAUGUACAUUUGUCCAUCAUACCAACCACUCUCUUCAUAUGGGACAACUGCAGAUAGAAGUCUAUCUCCAACGACUGAAACUUGCAGCUGAGAUUGGAACUCCAAAUACUGUGAAGGUCACUAGCCAGAGACCUCCAAGACGAAGAAAAAGCUGUCCUGGUUCCAGUUCCCCCCAUGAAUACAAAAAUCCAUCUUUCAGAGAUGUAUACUCGUUCACCUGCAGAAUUGCGGAAAUCAGUAAGUAUGUCUUACGCUAUAUAUAAUCUACAAAUUAAAAUAUGGCUCAAUUAACCAGAAUCCUGUCAGGAUAAUGCCCUCUAUAUAAAUGUCCGUUUCCCAUAUUUUCCUUGGGGUUUUCAGCGA